RNAcentral lists this ribosomal RNA (999 nucleotides) under uncultured Ascomycota. RNAcentral describes it as "SSU rRNA". It matches the Rfam family "Eukaryotic small subunit ribosomal RNA", at positions 46 to 1055 of the family's 1831-position model. The record is from RNAcentral. Lineage: Eukaryota; Fungi; Ascomycota.
AAGCCAUGCAUGUCUAAGUAUAAGCACUCUUUUACUGUGAAACUGCGAAUGGCUCAUUAAAUCAGUUAUCGUUUAUUUGAUAGUACCCUACUACAUGGAUACCUGUGGUAAUUCUAGAGCUAAUACAUGCGCAAAACCCCGACUUCGGAAGGGGUGUAUUUAUUAGAUAAAAAACCAAUGCCCUUCGGGGCUCCUUGGUGAUUCAUAAUAACUUCACGAAUCGCAUGGCCUUGCGCCGGCGAUGGUUCAUUCAAAUUUCUGCCCUAUCAACUUUCGAUGGUAGGAUAGUGGCCUACCAUGGUGGCAACGGGUAACGGGGAAUUAGGGUUCGAUUCCGGAGAGGGAGCCUGAGAAACGGCUACCACAUCCAAGGAAGGCAGCAGGCGCGCAAAUUACCCAAUCCCGAUACGGGGAGGUAGUGACAAUAAAUACUGAUACAGGGCUCUUUUGGGUCUUGUAAUUGGAAUGAGAACAAUCUAAAUCCCUUAACGAGGAACAAUUGGAGGGCAAGUCUGGUGCCAGCAGCCGCGGUAAUUCCAGCUCCAAUAGCGUAUAUUAAAGUUGUUGCAGUUAAAAAGCUCGUAGUUGAACCUUGGGCCCGUCCUGCCGGUCCGCCUCACCGCGAGUACUGGUCCGGAUGGGCCUUUCUUUCUGGGGAAUCCCAUGGCCUUCACUGGCUGUGGCGGGGAACCAGGACUUUUACUGUGAAAAAAUUAGAGUGUUCAAAGCAGGCCUUUGCUCGGAUACAUUAGCAUGGAAUAAUAGAAUAGGACGUGCGGUUCUAUUUUGUUGGUUUCUAGGACCGCCGUAAUGAUUAAUAGGGAUAGUCGGGGGCGUCAGUAUUCAGCUGUCAGAGGUGAAAUUCUUGGAUUUGCUGAAGACUAACUACUGCGAAAGCAUUCGCCAAGGAUGUUUUCAUUAAUCAGGGAACGAAAGUUAGGGGAUCGAGACGAUCAGAUACCGUCGUAGUCUAACCAUAACUAUGCCGACUAGGGAUCC